UACGUAGAGUGCAAGCGUUAAUCGGAAUUACUGGGCGUAAAGCGUGCGCAGGCGGUGAUGUAAGACAGUUGUGAAAUCCACGGGCUCAACCUGGGAACUGCAUCUGUGACUGCAUCGCUGGAGUGCGGCAGAGGGGGAUGGAAUUCCGCGUGUAGCAGUGAAAUGCGUAGAUAUGCGGAGGAACACCGAUGGCGAAGGCAAUCCCCUGGGCCUGCACUGACGCUCAUGCACGAAAGCGUGGGGAGCAAACAGG
This 253-nucleotide ribosomal RNA is filed under the name uncultured bacterium. Its description in RNAcentral is "partial 16S ribosomal RNA". It matches the Rfam family "Bacterial small subunit ribosomal RNA", at positions 524 to 776 of the family's 1533-position model. The record is from RNAcentral.